Molecule: long non-coding RNA, 514 nt
Filed under: Salvia miltiorrhiza (redroot sage)
Lineage: Eukaryota; Viridiplantae; Streptophyta; Magnoliopsida; Lamiales; Lamiaceae
Description: long non-coding RNA (SMIL_LNC000962)
Source: RNAcentral
UAUAAUUAUAACUUAAGAAUGUUAAUUUGAUUAGUGAUUCACUCAUCAAUCAUCACUAAUCCAAGAUUAUUACUAAGAAUUCAAGAUUCUUAGUAAGAAUCUUAUAAUUAUAACUUAAGAAUGUUAAUUUGAUUAGUGAUUCACUCAUCAAUCAUCACUAAUCCAAUAUUAUUACUAAGAAUUCAAGAUUCUUAGUAAGAAUCUUAUAAUUAUAACUUAAGAAUGUUAAUUUGAUUAGUGAUUCAUUCAUCAAUCAACACUAAGGUUAUGAAUGAUGUAUAAACUAGAUUGAUAAAAAAAAAAUUGAAAAUUAAUAAUAAAUUAAUUAAUAAAUAUUUUUCCGACAUAAAAAUAAGAACGGAAACGAGCCCAAUCCGUAAUUAACAACAUUUUUUGUAUAUCAUCUCGACAUAUUCUAAGGUUAUGAAUAUAUAUGAUAUUGUAUAUUGAAGUAGACUUUAAAUGAAUUAAUAGAUACUAUAUAUAUCAAUAAUACGAGUGUUCUGUACUGGUG